UACGGAGGAUCCGAGCGUUAUCCGGAUUUAUUGGGUUUAAAGGGAGCGUAGGUGGCCUGCUAAGUCAGUGGUGAAAUCUCUGGGCUUAACCCAGAAAUUGCCAUUGAUACUGGUGGGCUUGAGUGCAGUUGCUGUUGGCGGAAUAUGACAUGUAGUGGUGAAAUACAUAGAGAUGUCAUAGAACACCGAUUGCGAAGGCAGCUAACAAAACUGUAACUGACACUGAGGCUCGAAAGUGUGGGGAUCAAACAGG
This 253-nucleotide ribosomal RNA is filed under the name uncultured prokaryote. RNAcentral's name for it is "partial 16S ribosomal RNA". It matches the Rfam family "Bacterial small subunit ribosomal RNA", at positions 524 to 776 of the family's 1533-position model. The record is from RNAcentral.